UACGUAGGGGGCAAGCGUUGUCCGGAAUCAUUGGGCGUAAAGAGCGUGUAGGCGGCCCGAUAAGUCCGCUGUGAAAGUCCAGGGCUCAACCCUGGAAUGCCAGUGGAAACUGUCGGGCUAGAGUCCGGAAGAGGCGAGUGGAAUUCCUGGUGUAGCGGUGAAAUGCGCAGAUAUCAGGAGGAACACCGGUGGCGAAGGCGACUCUUUGGUCUGUAACUGACGCUGAGGCGCGAAAGCGUGGGGAGCAAACAGG
This 253-nucleotide ribosomal RNA is filed under the name uncultured bacterium. RNAcentral's name for it is "partial 16S ribosomal RNA". It matches the Rfam family "Bacterial small subunit ribosomal RNA", at positions 524 to 776 of the family's 1533-position model. The record is from RNAcentral.